GGGUAGCCGGCCUGAGAGGGCGACCGGCCACACUGGGACUGACACACCGCCCAGACUCCUACGGGAGGCAGCAAUGGGGAAUAUUGCUCAAUGGGCGCAAGCCUGAAGCCGCCACCCCCCGUGAGGGAUGAAGGCCCUCGGGUUGUAAACCUCUUUCCGCAGGGACCAAACGAAAGUGACGGUACCUGCAGAAAAAAGCCCGGCCAACUACGUGCCCUCAGCCGCGGUAAUACCUACGGUGCGAGCGUUGUCCGGAAUUAUUGGGCGUAAAGAGCUCGUAGGCGGCCUGUUGCCUCCACUGUGAAAACUCCAGGCUCAACCCCGAGCCUGCAUUCGAUACCGGCAGACUAGAGUUUUGGCAUUGGAAACUGGAAUUCCUGGUGUAGCGGUGAAAUGCGCACAUAUCUAGGAGGAACACCGGUGGCGAAGGCGGGUUUCUGUGCCGAAAUUGACGCUGAGGAGCGAAAGCGUGGGGAGCGAACAGGAUUAGAUACCCUGGUAGUCCACGCCGUAAACGUUGGGCGCUAGGUGUGGGGGUCCUUCCACGGCCUCCGUGCCGCAGCUAACGCAUUAAGCGCCCCGCCUGGGGAGUACGGCCGCAAGGCUAAAACUCAAAGGAAUUGACGGGGGCCCGCACAAGCGGCGGAGCAUGUGGAUUAAUUCGAUGCAACGCGAAGAACCUUACCUGGGUUUGACAUACACCGGAAAGCUGUGGAGACAUGGCCUCCGCAAGGUCGGUGUACAGGUGGUGCAUGGCUGUCGUCAGCUCGUGUCGUGAGAUGUUGGGUUAAGUCCCGCAACGAGCGCAACCCUUGUCCCAUGUUGCCAGCGGGUGAAGCCGGGGACUCAUGGGAAACUGCCGGGGUCAACUCGGAGGAAGGUGGGGACGACGUCAAGUCAUCAUGCCCCUUAUGUCCAGGGCUUCACACAUGCUACAAUGGCCGGUACAAAGGGCUGCUAAGCCGUGAGGGGGAGCCAAUCCCACAAAGCCGGUCUCAGUUCGGAUCGGGGUCUGCAACUCGACCCCGUGAAGUCGGAGUCGCUAGUAAUCGCAGAUCAG
Molecule: ribosomal RNA, 1060 nt
Filed under: uncultured Actinomycetes bacterium
Lineage: Bacteria; Bacillati; Actinomycetota; Actinomycetes
Description: bacterial SSU rRNA
Rfam family: Bacterial small subunit ribosomal RNA
Source: RNAcentral